This 465-nucleotide ribosomal RNA is filed under the name Vreelandella stevensii. Its description in RNAcentral is "partial 16S ribosomal RNA". It matches the Rfam family "Bacterial small subunit ribosomal RNA", at positions 338 to 795 of the family's 1533-position model. The record is from RNAcentral. Lineage: Bacteria; Pseudomonadati; Pseudomonadota; Gammaproteobacteria; Oceanospirillales; Halomonadaceae.
CCUACGGGGGGCAGCAGUGGGGAAUAUUGGACAAUGGGGGGAACCCUGAUCCAGCCAUGCCGCGUGUGUGAAGAAGGCCCUCGGGUUGUAAAGCACUUUCAGUGAGGAAGAACGCCUGGUGGUUAAUACCCAUCAGGAAAGACAUCACUCACAGAAGAAGCACCGGCUAACUCCGUGCCAGCAGCCGCGGUAAUACGGAGGGUGCGAGCGUUAAUCGGAAUUACUGGGCGUAAAGCGCGCGUAGGUGGCUUGAUAAGCCGGUUGUGAAGGCCCCGGGCUCAACCUGGGAACGGCAUCCGGAACUGUCAAGCUAGAGUGCAGGAGAGGAAGGUAGAAUUCCCGGUGUAGCGGUGAAAUGCGUAGAGAUCGGGAGGAAUACCAGUGGCGAAGGCGGCCUUCUGGACUGACACUGACACUGAGGUGCGAAAGCGUGGGUAGCAAACAGGAUUAGAUACCCUAGUAGUC